Carcharodon carcharias (great white shark) is the source of this 103-nucleotide small nuclear RNA. The record is from RefSeq and is a predicted model, not a curated record. Lineage: Eukaryota; Metazoa; Chordata; Chondrichthyes; Lamniformes; Lamnidae.
AAUAGAUAAAUAUAUUUCCUAGUCUCUUUUAAAGUAUACAGAGAAGAUUGGCAUGAUCCUUCACAAGGAUGACAUGCAAAUUUGUGAGAUUUUCCUUUUUUUU